UACGGAAUGUGCAAACGUUAUUCGGAAUCACUGGGCUUAAAGAGUCCGUAGGCGGCAUGUUAGGUGAGGUGUGAAAUCCCUCGGCUCAACCGAGGAAUUGCGCUUCAAACCGGCGUGCUUGAGGAGGAUAGAGGUGGGCGGAACUGAUGGUGGAGCGGUGAAAUGCGUUGAUAUCAUCAGGAACACCGGAGGCGAAAGCGGCCCACUGGGUCUUUUCUGACGCUGAGGGACGAAAGCUAGGGUAGUGAACGGG
Molecule: ribosomal RNA, 253 nt
Filed under: uncultured bacterium
Lineage: Bacteria
Description: partial 16S ribosomal RNA
Rfam family: Bacterial small subunit ribosomal RNA
Source: RNAcentral